Long non-coding RNA from Macrobrachium nipponense, 566 nucleotides. RefSeq lists it as uncharacterized. The transcript has 2 exons. The record is from RefSeq and is a predicted model, not a curated record. Lineage: Eukaryota; Metazoa; Arthropoda; Malacostraca; Decapoda; Palaemonidae.
GGCACAGAUUUCCCUUCGCAUACAAGGGUAGCUGUUUUCGACAUGGCUUGCCUCAAACUUUUGGUUGUCGUUUUAGCAACUUUGGCUUCGCUGCCUAUGGUCACCGUCAAAGCUGCACCUCACUAUUCACCAAAUGAAUACGGCUACGAUUAUGGGUACUACUACCCAUACGGUGGCGUUUACUAUCCAUACUACCAUUACGCCCCUUAUUUUUCCCAUUACUACUAUGAUUACCCUUCCUACAGCUAUGUCCACGUGAGCCAGACUACCGGCGGUAAGAAAAAGUAGGCAGCCGUUAUCGAUAACAUUGUGGUAUACCCUGGACUGCUGCCGUCAGUUUGUCUUAUGAAAAUCUUCCUUUCGUUUUAUUUUUACCUUAAUAAAUAUGUUUAGAAAACAUGAUAUUGUCGACCAAAUUCACUAAACAUUUCUAGCGUACUAGGGGCCUGAAUAGCAAAACUAUUUGAAACCACUCGCACAAACUGUGCUUUAAAAAUUUGUGCAAUUAUGUUUCAUAAAGAUUUCCUUCGUUACCUGUUUAAAAGCAAAUAAAAUUUAUAAUUGGU